ACAAAAUGAGUGAAGAAUUUUUUGCGUGUCAAAUGAUUGAAUUCAAAAUGAUUCAAGCAAGCUCUGAAAUU
RNAcentral lists this small nucleolar RNA (71 nucleotides) under Bombyx mori (domestic silkworm). RNAcentral's name for it is "C/D box snoRNA". The record is from RNAcentral. Lineage: Eukaryota; Metazoa; Arthropoda; Insecta; Lepidoptera; Bombycidae.